This 72-nucleotide transfer RNA is filed under the name Bos taurus (domestic cattle). It matches the Rfam family "tRNA". Rfam says of the family: Transfer RNA (tRNA) molecules are approximately 80 nucleotides in length. Their secondary structure includes four short double-helical elements and three loops (D, anti-codon, and T loops). Further hydrogen bonds mediate the characteristic L-shaped molecular structure. tRNAs have two regions of fundamental functional importance: the anti-codon, which is responsible for specific mRNA codon recognition, and the 3' end, to which the tRNAs corresponding amino acid is attached (by aminoacyl-tRNA synthetases). tRNAs cope with the degeneracy of the genetic code in two manners: having more than one tRNA (with a specific anti-codon) for a particular amino acid; and 'wobble' base-pairing, i.e. permitting non-standard base-pairing at the 3rd anti-codon position. The record is from Rfam by way of RNAcentral. Lineage: Eukaryota; Metazoa; Chordata; Mammalia; Artiodactyla; Bovidae. RNAcentral also lists the same sequence under 5 other names.
UCCCUGGUGGCUCAGUUGGUAAAGAAUCCACCUGCAAUGUGGGAGAUCUGGGUUUGAUUCCUGGGUUGGGAA